CAGCAGCCGCGGUAAUACGAAGGGUGCAAGCGUUAAUCGGAAUUACUGGGCGUAAAGCGUGCGUAGGCGGUUUGUUAAGUCUGUUGUGAAAUCCCCGGGCUCAACCUGGGAAUGGCAAUGGAUACUGGCAAGCUAGAGUGUGUCAGAGGAUGGUGGAAUUCCCGGUGUAGCGGUGAAAUGCGUAGAGAUCGGGAGGAACAUCAGUGGCGAAGGCGGCCAUCUGGGACAACACUGACGCUGAGGCACGAAAGCGUGGGGAGCAAACAGGAUUAGAUACCCCGGUAGUCCCUGUCUCUUAUAC
Molecule: ribosomal RNA, 301 nt
Filed under: uncultured bacterium
Lineage: Bacteria
Description: partial 16S ribosomal RNA
Rfam family: Bacterial small subunit ribosomal RNA
Source: RNAcentral